UGGGCAACCUGCCCCAGACACAGGGAUAACCCCGGGAAACCGGGGCUAAUACCGGAUACUCCGGUCGAACCGCAUGGCUCGAUCGGGAAAGCUCCGCCGGAGAGGGAUGGACUCGCGGCCUAUCAGCUUGUUGGUGAGGUAAUGGCUCACCAAGGCGACGACGGGUAGCUGGUCCGAGAGGAUGGCCAGCCACAUUGGGACUGAGACACGGCCCAGACUCCUACGGGAGGCAG
RNAcentral lists this ribosomal RNA (233 nucleotides) under uncultured bacterium. RNAcentral describes it as "partial 16S ribosomal RNA". It matches the Rfam family "Bacterial small subunit ribosomal RNA", at positions 118 to 351 of the family's 1533-position model. The record is from RNAcentral.